RNAcentral lists this ribosomal RNA (485 nucleotides) under uncultured microorganism. Its description in RNAcentral is "bacterial SSU rRNA". It matches the Rfam family "Bacterial small subunit ribosomal RNA", at positions 9 to 498 of the family's 1533-position model. The record is from RNAcentral.
GAGUUUGAUCGUGGCUCAGGACGAACGCUGGCGGCGUGCUUAACACAUGCAAGUCGAGCGAGAAUCUACUGAAAGAGUUUUCGGACAAUGGAAGUAGAGGAAAGUGGCGGACGGGUGAGUAACGCGUGAGGAACCUGCCUUGAAGAGGGGGACAACAGUUGGAAACGACUGCUAAUACCGCAUGAUGCAUAAGGGUCGCAUGAUUCUUAUGCCAAAGAUUUAUCGCUUCAAGAUGGCCUCGCGUCUGAUUAGCUAGUUGGCGGGGUAACGGCCCACCAAGGCGACGAUCAGUAGCCGGACUGAGAGGUUGAACGGCCACAUUGGGACUGAGAUACGGCCCAGACUCCUACGGGAGGCAGCAGUGGGGAAUAUUGGGCAAUGGGCGCAAGCCUGACCCAGCAACGCCGCGUGAAGGAGAAGGCUUUCGGUAUGUAACUUCUAUCAGCACGGAAGAAAUAGACGGUACCUGACUAAGAAGCCCGGCU